AUGGGGCUGGUCGUGCUGCCGCGAGCCAUCGCUGCGCCUGGCGCCCCGGGGGCUCAGCACCCUGUGCCUAACGCCCCCUUCUCGCCGCGAGCCGUGCUCGGGGCCCGCUCUCCUCCCCUUGUGCCGUCGCCUGGUGGCGGUGGCAGUGCCAGGUGGGACCCGGGGAAGGCCCCGGCGCGGAGCAGGGAGGUUUGUUCUUGGGGAAGCCCCCCCACAGGAAGGGUUUUGGGGUGGGAAGGUGCCGAAGGGUCCCCAGCCCGCGUCCCCGGCCUCCUCCCGCGAGCCUGUUCCAGGAGCGGAGGCCGGGAGGGAGCGGGGCUGCCCCCCCAGCGGCACGCAGCGUGGCGGGCGCCCGGACUGCUUUCCCCCCCCGAGCCCCCCGCGGGUUUUCCUGCUCGGCUCAAGCCCCCGCUGUGCUCCCGGCCUGACCCAGGAAGCCGGAGCCCACCUCGCCCCGCGCCGAGGGGCCGGCCCGCCCUGCGUCCCGCUCCCGUUGCGCCUGGGGGUGCCGGGGGAAUUCACCCCCCGUGCGGCAGAGCCCCGGCGCGAGCCGAGGCUGGGCGGGCGCCCAUGAGAGCGGCCUGGCCCCACUCCGCCUGGCCCCGCAGCCUGGCCCCAUGUGUCCCCAGGCACACGAGGAGGAGGAGGAGGAGGAGGGCAGCGCCUGGUGACACUUCCCCAGCGUUCUCCCCCUGCCUCCGGCAAAUCGCGGGGCAGCGGCUGUCCGAGCCGGAGCGGGCGCCUGGCGUUUGUUUUCUCUCGGAGGAUUCCUUUUUUUCUCCUCGAUUCCCCUCACACCUCGCCGCUCAUCCCCUCGUUGCACAGGGAGCGGUUCCCCCUUCCCUUCUGCGCGCUGCCCGGGGUCUUUUAGUCCCGCUCAGUUCGUCCUUCGCCCCUUUUGUCUCCCACUCCAGCAGCCCUGUCCUUCUCCCGGCCUUUGCCCACUGCUGCCCGUCGGGGUUUUCCCCUUCCCACCCCGUUUCUCCACCUCUGGGCUGCCCCGGCGGCUCGCCAGGGCCGGGAAAUCGCCUUGGAGCCGCGCACCCCAAGCGGCACCGAGCCUUCUGCAUCGGCAGCAGCCCAGCUCCACGGCAAAGCGUCUUUCUGGGGGGGGCUGAAACGCUUCAGCCAGAGGCGGAAUUCCCCCAGCCCCAACGCCUGGCGUGGCCCCCGGCCGCAGCGAGCCCCCUUCCAGCCCAAUUUGCCUUCACGGGGGGCGCGAGUCCUCGGGCCGGGGCGCUGAGACCGGCAGCCGAGCGUCAGCUCCCCUGUCACGCACCCCGUCGCUCAGGGCUCCGGUUGCCCUGCCAAGGUAGCGAGCUCCAAAAUUAG
RNAcentral lists this long non-coding RNA (1332 nucleotides) under Anser brachyrhynchus (Pink-footed goose). Its description in RNAcentral is "lncRNA (ENSABRG00000022992.1)". Lineage: Eukaryota; Metazoa; Chordata; Aves; Anseriformes; Anatidae. The record is from RNAcentral.